RNAcentral lists this unclassified non-coding RNA (200 nucleotides) under Pleosporales sp. RNAcentral describes it as "partial internal transcribed spacer 2". Lineage: Eukaryota; Fungi; Ascomycota; Dothideomycetes; Pleosporales. The record is from RNAcentral.
UUAAGUUCAGCGGGUAUCCCUACCUGAUCCGAGGUCAAACGAUUGAUAUCUUAAUGGAUGUAGACUAUAAGAAGGAACGCAAAUGUGCUGCGCUGAACUACUAAUAAUCUGCUGCCAAUAAAUUUGAGGCAAGUCCUUGCGGACAACGCCCAACACCAAGCAAAGCUUGAAGGUUCAAAUGACGCUCGAACAGGCAUGCC